RNAcentral lists this ribosomal RNA (492 nucleotides) under uncultured bacterium. Its description in RNAcentral is "partial 16S ribosomal RNA". It matches the Rfam family "Bacterial small subunit ribosomal RNA", at positions 29 to 507 of the family's 1533-position model. The record is from RNAcentral.
AGUGAACGCUGGCGGUAGGCCUAACACAUGCAAGCCGAACGGCAGCACAGUAAGAGCUUGCUCUUACGGGUGGCGAGUGGCGGACGGGUGAGGAAUACAUCGGAAUCUACUUUUUCGUGGGGGAUAACGUAGGGAAACUUACGCUAAUACCGCAUACGACCUACGGGUGAAAGCAGGGGAUCUUCGGACCUUGCGCGAUUGAAUGAGCCGAUGUCGGAUUAGCUAGUUGGCGGGGUAAAGGCCCACCAAGGCGACGAUCCGUAGCUGGUCUGAGAGGAUGAUCAGCCACACUGGAACUGAGACACGGUCCAGACUCCUACGGGAGGCAGCAGUGGGGAAUAUUGGACAAAGGGCGCAAGCCUGAUCCAGCCAUACCGCGUGGGUGAAGAAGGCCUUCGGGUUGUAAAGCCCUUUUGUUGGGAAAGAAAAGCAGCAGGUUAAUACCCCGCUGUUCUGACGGUACCCAAAGAAUAAGCACCGGCUAACUUCGUG